CCGGGAGGCUGCAAAGCGGCGAGCAGCUGGGACAUCCAGCAGGCAGACUGGACUGACCCUCCGGCGACGCGGCCCACACAGGCCAGGCCUGUGACCCUGCCGUCCCUCCACUGCCCCUGCUGGAUCCAGAUAUCCAGAAUGGCCCGCUGGUGCUACUGCCUCCUCUACCUCCUGGCUGAAUCGCUCAGGGCAGAGGAGUGACCUGCCCAAGAUCACACCGAUCCCAAAGCCUGCAGCUUCCACCGCAGCCCCCGGAGCACACAGUAGGCAUUCAGUGAUUGCACAGGGGAGGGGACACCUGGCCAAGGCCCACCUGUGUUCUUCUCUCAGAUCCAAAGUCUCUCUGGCACCUCCUCCGACUUCCCAACUGAAUCAAGGAACCCUGGGGCCGCAGGUUGGUAUGAAGAUCCCCCCUCCUCCAAAGCCAAGGAAGAGAAGAAACGAGAUUAAGCUCAGACCCCACCAUGGGAGGCCCUGGAUGGAAAGCUCCACUCGUGUCCACCUCAUUCCUGUGGCACAGGUCUGGAAAGGCUCUGCCAAGGGAGUAGGUCUGACCAGAUCACAGAACAUAGCAAGGGGCCAAGUCCGUCCAGGGCCAAAAGGGUCCCAGCACUAUGUCCUUGGUUGGCCCUGCCCACUGCAGAGGUUGAAGGCCCACAAGAUGCGCUCCCAGGCCCUCUCCUAUGCCCUCCAGACCUGGUGGCCCCAGGCGAGGUGGUGGAGACCAUGGACAGGAUUUGUAAGUUCCCAGGUCAGCGGCUCAGCUGGUGGCAAGCCCAAGAGUCCUGCGAACAGCGCUUUGGCCACCUGGCCCUGGGGCCUCCCGAUGAAGUUCUUGCUCCACAGCUUCGAGACUCCGUCUGGGUGGGCCAAAGAGAAGCCUUUCUGCAGAGACCCCCUCGGAGGCGUGAGUGAGGGCCUGGUGUG
Molecule: non-coding RNA, 927 nt
Organism: Heterocephalus glaber (naked mole-rat)
Lineage: Eukaryota; Metazoa; Chordata; Mammalia; Rodentia; Bathyergidae
Source: RefSeq, a predicted model, not a curated record